This 803-nucleotide long non-coding RNA is filed under the name Helianthus annuus (common sunflower). RNAcentral's name for it is "sRNA HanXRQr2_Chr09g0364091". The record is from RNAcentral. Lineage: Eukaryota; Viridiplantae; Streptophyta; Magnoliopsida; Asterales; Asteraceae.
AAUCAUUGUUUUCGAAAUAAAACAAGACAAAAAACAACAGGGGAGGAACCGAAAAGUUUGACGGCAGCAAGCAUAAGCAGAGGCGACGACAGAAAGGAAAAAGAAAAAGGCUUCGAUCAAGGUUCACAUGUGAGAUUAAUAAUCGGAUGAACUUGAUAAUUGUAAUGGGUAUAAGGAUUGACUAAAGUCAGGUGUUCGAUCUAAAAUCUGAAGAUGGGGAAUUCAAGACUACGAUCCCAACAUAUUGAAAGGGGGAGUCUGAAGACAUCGAGAGAAAGAUUGAAGAUGUAGAAAGCCAAGUUUGAAAAGAAGAUAUAGAGAAUGAUUGAGGAUGCGUACAAUGGAGGAUCUUUGGAGAGAGCGAGCAGACUGAUAAAGACUUAAGGUUUGACAACCGAAGACUCGACACUGAAGACUCGUCAACAUCCGAGGGGGAGUCUGUUGGUGCAUCCGUCUGUCGACUUCGUCUUGUAUCGAGUCUUGUAAUGUAUUAGAUAGACCAGGGCAUGCAAAACGAGAAAUGUGAUGUAUAGGUAAUUCCGCACGGAAUUAUAAUUCCGCUUGGAAUUGUAUUUCCUCUUGGAACACCUAAUUCCGCUUGGCCUUAAUAUCGUUUGAACUAAUUCCGCGCGGAAUUAAGUUUCGCUUGUACCUGUUCACACGGAAUUAGGAGCUUAUAUAUACCUGAAGUGUCUGGUUCAUUUGUAACGAGAUUAGUUCCGACGGCGAAGCUCUGUCGAAGUGUCUACAACAUUGUAAACGAUCUAAUAUAAAUCAAAAGACAGUUUAAAGUGAAUUCUCGU